GAUGCGAGGGUGAUCUGGCUGCGACGUCUGUCACCCCGUGGGUCACCAGGGUUGAUUCGGUUGAUCUGGCUGGUGAGGGAGAUGUCUCCUUCCCUCUCCACUC
RNAcentral lists this small RNA (103 nucleotides) under Calidris pugnax (ruff). RNAcentral describes it as "7SK RNA (ENSCPUG00000016731.1)". It matches the Rfam family "7SK RNA", at positions 2 to 107 of the family's 331-position model. Rfam says of the family: 7SK was discovered as an abundant small nuclear RNA in the mid-70s but a possible function has only recently been suggested. Two independent studies have found that 7SK RNA binds the CDK9/cyclin T complex (known as elongation factor P-TEFb). The record is from RNAcentral. Lineage: Eukaryota; Metazoa; Chordata; Aves; Charadriiformes; Scolopacidae.